Molecule: long non-coding RNA, 677 nt
Filed under: Rattus norvegicus (Norway rat)
Lineage: Eukaryota; Metazoa; Chordata; Mammalia; Rodentia; Muridae
Description: long non-coding RNA NONRATT008455
Source: RNAcentral
GCUUCCACAUCACAAGAAAAAUGUACAAUAUAUUCAGUAGUUGAACCUUCCAGGAAGUCUGGAUCCAAGAAGAGGAACCAGAACCCUUCCUUAAAUUGCACCGUGUAUGAAGAGAUUGGAAAGCAAUGGGUCAAACCUCAGAACCCUGCCAGGCUGAGCCGCAGAGAGCUGGAGAACUUCGAAGCUUAUUUCUAGCUGUUGGAAGUGGUCUCAUCCUGUGUUACACAUCAGCAUUGACUUUGGAAGGGAGAGCAUCAAAUGAUGAUGAAUCUGUCUGUGUCUGUGGACCAGCUUCUAGGCUGGAGAGGAUGCCGUUAAUUCGUGGUUUUAUUUUAUUAUUUUUCUUUUUAGAUAGGAUCUGACAUAGCUCAGCAUGACCUGAAUUUGCUAAGUAGCCAAGGACGACCUUAAACUUUUGAUCCUUCUGCCUAUGCUUCCCAAGUUUUGGAAUCACAGGCAUGUACCACUGUAGAUGGCUUGGAAACAAUUUCUAAUAGCCACUGUAUGAUCAAGUUUGUUAAAAAAAAGUCCCCCAAACUUAUAGAUCAGAUAGGAAUGGGUAGAGAGGUUGUAUUGGCCACAUUCUGAGCCGUUAUAACCUAUGAUUUAUGUUUUAUUUUAUUUUAUUAUCAAUUGUAUAAUUUAAAAUUAUACACCACUGUAUAAAUGUGAAGUAG